UAGCAAUUUAUCAUUACUCAAGUCAGCAUAAUUCA
RNAcentral lists this ribosomal RNA (35 nucleotides) under Leucocytozoon caulleryi. RNAcentral's name for it is "LS4". Lineage: Eukaryota; Apicomplexa; Aconoidasida; Haemosporida; Leucocytozoidae. The record is from RNAcentral.